CACGCCCGGCUAAUUUUUUGUAUUUUUUAGUAGAGACGGGGUUUCACCGUGGUCUCGAUCUCCUGACCUCGUGAUCCGCCUGCCUCGGCCUCCCAAAGUGUUUGGGAUUACAAGCGUGAGCCACCGCGCCCAGCUGAAUAGUUGUUAUACUGUAUUGUUUAGGGAAUAAUGACAACAACAAAAAGUCUGUACACGUUCAACCAUCCCUUUUUUUUUUUUUUUUUGUGAAACAGGGUCUCACUGUGUCACCCUUGCUUGAAUGCAGUGGCACAAUCAUGGCUCACUGUAGCCUUGAUCUCCUGGACUCAAGCGAUUCUCCCACCUCAUCCCCUCGAGUAGCUAGGACUACAGGUGCACAUCACCAUGCCCAGCUAACUGUUUUUAAGUUUUUUUCAUAGAGAUGGAGGUCUCACCAUGUUGCCCAGGCUCAUCCUGACCUCCUGGGCUCAAGAGAUCCUCCCACCUCAGCCUCCCAAAGUGCUGGGAUUACAGUCAUGAACCACCAUGCCUGGCCCUUUCUUUGUUUUGUUUUUUUCUUAACCUCUAUUAAAACACUUCAAUGAAUUUUUUUUUUUUUUUUUUGAGACUGAGUUUCGCUCUUGUUGCCCAGGCUGGAGUGCAGUGUUAUGAUCUCAGCUCACUGCACCCUUCGCCUCCUGGGUUCAAGUGAUUCUCCUGCCUCAGCCUCCCGAGUAGCUGUAAUUACAGGUAUCCGCCACCACACCUGGCUAAUUUUGUAUUUUUAGUAGAGACAGGGUUUCACCAUGUUGGUCAGGCUGGUCUCAAACUCCUGACCUCAGCUGAUCCACCCACCUUGGCCUCCCAAAGUGUUGGGAUUACAGGCGUGAACCACCAUGCCCGGCCUAAAUGAAUAUAUUUUUGAUGUGAGGUUGGUUGAAUCCACAGAUGCAGAAACCAUGGAUACAGAGGACCGACUACACCUAACUCCAUCAAGGUCUCUGGACAGCCUUUCUGCCAUUACUAGCCAUUAGCUCUUGGGCAAGUGACUUCACCUCUCUGAGUUUUCUCAGAUUUAACAAGUGGGGUAAUACCUACCCUCAGCUGGCGUGAAGGUUAAAUGAUACGCUUUAGUUACAGUGGGGUACGCAGCAGGUGCUCCAAAAAUGCUAGUUCCUUUCUCAGUCCCUUUUUUAUUCUGAGGCCCUGAGGAAACAUCAGGAACUCGAGAAAACAACCUCUUUCAAAGCACAGAAGGCUGAAGCGCAUUAUCAAUCUUUUGUGAGUAUUUUGAUUUACAUCCUGUGUGUUGAGAUUUCUAUUUCUUAACUUUUAUUUGAUCUGAAUUUGAUUUCAGUUUCUUGCUGACCCCUCCAGGUAUGUUCACAGCUCCAAGGACAGCUGCAGAAGUGCACUAGGCUGGCUGGGUUUCUGGGAGCCAACGCAUGCAACUGGGAAAAGGUGCUAAAUAAAUCCUCAGUGACUGAGCCCGGAGCCAAACACAUUUAUCUUUGUCAUCCAUCCAAUUCUGUGCAGCUGGGAUGGAGCCCAAGGCGCUGAGGACGACAUAAAUCUGCUCUUUGGGCCCCACCCAUUUCUUCUCCAAGCAGAUGUGGUAGCCGGGAGCCAAGGCUUGGGGGCUCAGCGCUGCGCUGAGAAGAGGACGAGCUCCAGGCCGGUCAUCAUCAGACUGGGAGGAGAGAGCAAAUAUUACCUGAAAUGAGGCCGCUUGGUGGAAGACACUGGAGAAACACAGCUGGAAAGAUGGAAGCUCUGCGGUUCAGAAACACUGGAGUUUCACAUUUGACCUCUGGCUUUCAUGUGAGAUGAAGAGACAGAACACUUUUCUGAAGUUAUUUUCUCUUUACAU
This is a long non-coding RNA of Symphalangus syndactylus (siamang), 1828 nucleotides long. RefSeq lists it as uncharacterized. NCBI's taxonomy places the organism in Eukaryota, Metazoa, Chordata, Mammalia, Primates, Hylobatidae. The record is from RefSeq and is a predicted model, not a curated record.